Molecule: ribosomal RNA, 253 nt
Filed under: uncultured bacterium
Lineage: Bacteria
Description: partial 16S ribosomal RNA
Rfam family: Bacterial small subunit ribosomal RNA
Source: RNAcentral
UACGAGUUGUGCAAACGUUAUUCGGAAUCACUGGGCUUAAAGGGUGCGUAGGCGGCUAUGAAAGUCAGAUGUGAAAUCCCUCGGCUCAACCGAGGAACUGCACUUGAAACUUCAUAGCUUGAGGGAGACAGAGGUGAGCGGAACUGAUGGUGGAGCGGUGAAAUGCGUUGAUAUCAUCAGGAACACCGGUGGCGAAGGCGGCUCACUGGGUCUUUUCUGACGCUGAGGCACGAAAGCCAGGGGAGCAAACGGG